This is a non-coding RNA of Triticum aestivum (bread wheat), 136 nucleotides long. The record is from Rfam. NCBI's taxonomy places the organism in Eukaryota, Viridiplantae, Streptophyta, Magnoliopsida, Poales, Poaceae.
AUUCUACUCCCUCCGUUGCACAAUACAUGCCUUCUAUUUGUCAAAAUAUAUAUGUAUCUAGACAUGUCUUAGUAUAUAGGUACAUCCAUUUUUGGACAAAUGGAAGUCAAGUAUUUUGGAACGAAGGGAGUACACA